This 64-nucleotide transfer RNA is filed under the name Xylophaga washingtona. RNAcentral describes it as "tRNA-Ala". The record is from RNAcentral. Lineage: Eukaryota; Metazoa; Mollusca; Bivalvia; Myida; Xylophagaidae.
GGCGUCAUACUUUAAUUAAAAGGUUAAGUUUGCGUCUUAAAAUUGGGAUCUUUCCCUUUCGCCA